GGUUAAUUCGAAGCAACGCGAAGACCUUACCAGGGCUUGACAUCCCUUGGAAGUCAGCUAGAGAUAGCUGUGUCCUUCGGGACAAGGAGACGAGGUGGUGCAUGGUUGUCGUCAGCUCGUGUCGUGAGAUGUUGGGUUAAGUCCCGCAACGAGCGCAACCCCUAUUGUUAGUUGCCAUCAUUCAGUUGGGCACUCUAGCGAGACUGCCGGUAAUAAACCGGAGGAAGGUGGGGAUGACGUCAAAUCAUCAUGCCCCUUAUGACCUGGGCUACACACGUGCUACAAUGGUUGGUACAACGAGUUGCGAGUCGGUGACGGCGAGCUAAUCUCUUAAAGCCAAUCUCAGUUCGGAUUGUAGGCUGCAACUCGCCUACAUGAAGUCGGAAUCGCUAGUAAUCGCGGAUCAGCACGCCGCGGUGAAUACGUUCCCGGGCCUU
This 437-nucleotide ribosomal RNA is filed under the name uncultured Streptococcus sp. RNAcentral's name for it is "bacterial SSU rRNA". It matches the Rfam family "Bacterial small subunit ribosomal RNA", at positions 943 to 1382 of the family's 1533-position model. Lineage: Bacteria; Bacillati; Bacillota; Bacilli; Lactobacillales; Streptococcaceae. The record is from RNAcentral.